Molecule: non-coding RNA, 6135 nt
Organism: Dermacentor andersoni
Lineage: Eukaryota; Metazoa; Arthropoda; Arachnida; Ixodida; Ixodidae
Source: RefSeq, a predicted model, not a curated record
GGGAGCGCGCGCAUCGAGGCACCCUAGGCAUGCGUAGAGUUACUGUAUAUGCUACCAAAUACCUUUGGGAGCAUAUACAGUAACUCUAGGCCUGUGUCGAGAAUAGCGCCCCCUAUAUCUGUCUGCGAGGCUUGUAUUGGCUGGCGUUGUACGAUGCUUCGUCUAAAACGUGGAUAUGGCUACACAAAUAACGCGUUCUUAAAGUAAAAUCUUCAUAAAAUGCCUCCAUUCACCCAUGUUACAUUUUCCAGUGAAAUUUACUCACCUAGAAUGCAUAACCAAACGAAGGAAAGGAAGAACAGGCGACAAACUGUUUCAAAGACACCAAAGCGGCAACGGGGAUACCAAAGCUAGAACCCCCCAAGGAACCCUAGCCGAUUGUUGAGAAAUGGUCAGAAACCAACUUCACUGGCCACCCGACUUCCGAAAACAGUUGUCCCGACGUCUACUUCCAGCUACUUCGGCACGCGGCCGGCCACACGGGCUGGGCCUCCGCCAGAGCACGACUAGACGCCGAGCGCGCCAAACGCUCGUCGGUGCGACAAGCCGGCAAUGCAUCGGGCCAGCUUUAGUUGCCGACUGAACUUUGGGUCCUCGUAUUUUUUUGUUAGACAGCAUAAAAUAUAUUGCACUAAGUACUAACUACAAUAAUAACAAGCAUUUUUCAUGCUGCCACAGCUGAUGCACACUGCAGAAGCACCAGACUGCGAAUGUGGACUUCUUUAAGUUCUUUUUUAAUGACUUUGCUCGUACUGCUGCUUGGUUUCAACUCACGUUUCGCUAAAAGGCCGCAUUUUUUAUUUGUCCACAUUGGUAAACCGCUUUGCAUUGCUGUUAAACUAGUUCGUUCGCAAAUGGUCCGGUUUGACUGGGUAGAAGGUACCUUUUUGCAUGAACCAUGGCAAGCAGAAAUACUAGUUAAACACUCUGUGAAAAACGCAAGAAGAAAAAAUACGACCUCAUUGCAAAAUUUGAGUGCGAACGAACAAGCAGUGCAAAGGAUUCUUUUAAAGCUUGUUAGAGCAAACGCGCAUGCCUACUUCCAACGACAAGCUGAUAUACCCUCUGGUGACUCGGGCUAAGCGAAAAUAAAAAAAAGAAAGUGAAGUAAAACAGUCCAGCGGCGGAGAAGAAUGCGGGCAAGGGGGGAGAACUGAGCCCAAGGCCGGGUAGCGUUUCCGGGUAACCGCAGUGUGGAGCUAGGAGGGAAAAAAGAAAGACGUGCGCCACCAGGGAAGGCAGGCGGAGAAGCGCGGGAAACUUUCUUUUCUACCGUUUUUCUUUUCCCUCCAUGUUUUCGACUAGUCUCUGCAGCUGGGUGACAUGGCCUGGAGUUGCACACUGCGCUUGCGGCAGGGAAGCCAGCGGUGUCUGUCGUCAGUAAAUUUUGAAUAAACGGUGCGAUCUAUCUGAGCCCAAGAUGAGAAAUUCAGAAACACGCCCUAGGCAGCACCGCAAAAGCACUUGCACGCGGAAAAAUUAACAUGGAGGCAUACGCUCUAGUGCGUCGCAAUCAAUAUACAGACUAUUUGAAAUAUCUUUUAAAGCUGUAUAGGUUUUUUACCUAUACAGCUUUACCUAAUAUAGUUAUAAAUUUGUCUGAAACCAUGGAACGGCUUACAAUAGGCAAUAUUAUAUAGGUUUCUUUUGCUUGUCCACCAAAGCUGCUGUCAACUUUAUAUGCUUCCACGUUUAGCGCUUUCAUACGUCGCUCUUGCACAAGACGAAGGAAUGACACCUCUUCCCAAAUGGCAGACUGCGCACUGCAUGUAGGCGCCUACGUAACCAAGCUCCCACGCAACCUAUAGCUCCCAUGUGAAAGAAAGCUUCGUCCUUAGAAUAUCCGACUCAUGCAUGUACUGCCUCAGUAUACGAAACCGCAUCCGUCGGAAGUCUCAUUGUGGAUAGCUUAUAUAUGAAAGACGUCCCGUAGAAUAUUACCCUGCACUUCUUCUGACACACAGUUUUUUUCUGAGACCGAAAGUCCCUUCUCACGUUAUAUUCGUGUUCGCGUCAUACACGUGCAUAUACGGUAUGUGUUUAAUCGGCUUCUGAGUGACGUGUCACACGGGAUCAUGCACGCAGCCCGACAGCUGCUGAGCCGAUUCUUAUAUUUAUGAAGCCGCGUAGGUGCAGCUUUGUCUCGCAGAGGCCGCCAAAUUUAACGUCUUGUCAUCGGUCACAAGAAAAGCGGGCAUACUAAUGUAACGUGGUGCGGAAAGUCUUCACGAGUGGUUCAGGCAGCAAUUGAACAACACCUUGAAGUUGAGCCUUUAGGCCACGCGUUCACACGCGCCAGUGCGUUCCGACAGGCUGCGCAGUGCUUUGAAGAAGUGAGAGGCAGCAAUUUCUUGUUGUUAUUGUUUUUGCGUAACAAAUGUUGACGGACGAAUAUACACAAUGACGGAAUAUAGACCAGCUAUACAAAAGCGAUGACGGCGAUUCAUCACACGGGGAAAAACAGCAACCAUCACAUACAGACGUUAGUGACAGUUCAUCUGGCAGUUAGACCAGCUUCCGGCUAAAGGAUGGUUCUGUGUUUUUUUCUGGACUGAUCUAACUCUAGUAAUUAGAGCGAAUUAUGAAAUCAGAAUCAAAUUUAUUUGCGCCAUAUAUGCGGGUGCGCAUGCAACGACCACUAUUAUGAGAGCAAGAGUACGUGGAGACCAGUGUGCAAGUCGCAAGAAGAAGACAUAUCGCGUAAGUAUUACAGUUCCUUUACCAAAAGGCACAAGAUUUCAAUACUUCAAGAACGGAUAUGUUUGUAACACUAUUGGAUCGUUCAUCAUUUCUUUCUUUUUUUGUAGGUAAAUUAUCGAGAAAAUAUUCUGUUUAACGGGGAACAAGAUUUAAUAAAGUGGAUAUUGCGUUAGACAGUUAUCGUAAUAGUCAUAUCUGCGCUGCAGAAAGAGUCAAGCAAAAUUGUUCGUGAACGGCGUGUUAAUUCUAAACGGCCCUGUCGUAUCGCAUCAAAAAUCGUCAAAACGAUAUAAGCGCAGCUAGGCGACUCGCGGACUGUACAGUUCAGGAAAACAUUGGAUGUUUUCCCUGGGUAGUGUGAAAGAAGCGAUUAUACGAAGCCGAACUGUGAAGAGAUGUCAAAAUCUGCCAUUUUUGCAGCUAUUGUCAAUUCGUCUAAGAAUAAUUAAGGCUGCAGUCCAUCGAUGUCAAUCUACAAAUGAAGCAUUUCUGCUGUCGACGUGUCAUUUGACUGGGAAGAACUAGAGUUAUAUCAAAUUCUUCCAACGUUUGCUCAAUGAACUAAUGACAUUCAACAAUCAAGCAGUUAAGAAUUAAUAAAUUCAUGGUAGAUCAUGAGUGCUUUCUUAUGCGCCGUCACCUGUGAGGCAUAUCCACCAUUUUCGUGCAAAGCUCCCUGGAACGCGUACUGACGGUGAAUGCAUGCACGCACAUAUCGAACUUCGUGCACGUAUAGACGUGAUGCUUUGACGACGAAUAUUUAUUAAAAUUCAAAUUAUUUAUUUCUGCCUUGUAAAGGUACAGACAGCGGAGGCGCACAAGAAGAUGUCAGAUACAGCUUGACAAAGCCGCAGCCCCCUUUCGCUUGGCAGCGUCUUCGUAGCAAGACUUUUAAAACAAAGAUAACUGCACAGUGUAACAACAGUAUUACAAUAAUGAGCAAGAACAAAAGGAAACAAAACAAGAUUAUACAAUAUUUAAACAAUAUUCACAAAAAGGAAAACAGAACCUACAUGGUAACAAACAUAGCACCCAAACUACUGUUUGACGCAUUGAAGAUGUCAAAAUUAUUAUAUAUAUUAGCUAUUACAUAUUCGUAUAGAGCUACCAAUCCGUGCAAAAUCUAGAUCGGUGGUUUUCAUUACACACGCACGCACGUACACGCACAACACAUGCCAAGCCCCCAUAAGGUAAAGGAAACGCUUUAUUAAACAAACGUUCCUUCGAUGUUAGAGUACGGCAGCUCUGCCUGGGACCCAGAGACAAACACAGCCAUUAAUCAACUGGAACGGAUACAAAAACGCGCCGCCCGGUUCGUUACCGCCAACUAUGAUUUCACUCAGAGCUAAUCACAAAUACGUGUUAACUUGGGAUGGCCACUUCUCGAGAACCGACGGAAAUAUUUGCGACUUAAACUUUUCUUCAAUAUUUACACAGGCAAGACUGGUUUGUGCAGGGACAGAUACAUGAAGAACCCAAGUUACAUAUCCACCAGAACAGAUCAUCCGCUCAAAGUACAAGAGUACAAAUGCCGUAUCAAUCUAUAUAGGCAUUCCUUCUUUACAAAAACUGUACAUGAUUGGAAUAAACAGCCGCCUGAAAUUGUCGCAGCAACGUCAUCUGUGUUUGAAAAUUUGUUGUCGAAACAUUUAUAUGUUUAGUUCCAAAAUGUAUUUUGCUUCGAACAGAAUAGGAGAUUAACAUUUCCUGUCCACGGCUUCUUGCCUUAAUCGCUGUUUUUUAAUACAUUAUUAUUAUUAUUAUUAUUAUUAUUAUUAUUAUUAUUGUUAUUGUUAUUAUUAUUAUUAUUAUUGCGUUGUACUAUGUAAUAAAUUGUAUUUAUAUUGUAUUUCAUAAUAACCUUAGGUGUAAUGUUGCAUUAAGUACUGUAUUUUUCAAUAUUAAUAUUGUGGCGUAUUAUGUAUUAGAUGUAUCCUUUUGUACCAUCAAUCAUCUGUAUUUCCAUCAUUUUUACAUUCCUUCCCUCUACUCUAAUGCCCAACAUUGGGCGCUGCGGGUGUGUAAGUAAAUAAAUAAAGAAGGAAACAGCGAAAAAAGAAGAAGAAAGGAAAAGUCCGUCUGGCACCGUCGCAUCUCCCUCUCCCAGAAGAAAUGAAGAGGCGAAGGGGGCUUUGCUACUCGCAACGCCGCCCGCUCGCGGGACCGCAGGGCAAGGGCGCGAGAUCCCGCCAAAUGCUGGAUGGCAGCUUGUUGGAUGCCAGCUCGUUUCGCGUCUCGACAGUUUAGUGGACUAGCUGGUGCAUUUGUGCUAUCAUGGACUGCGCAUAUAAACGCAAACUACACAAGGUAACAAAUGGACAAGAAGAGCGCAAGCCCUUUCCAUGAAGUGGAGCCGCCUUGUCUCGCCAUUCAGAAUAUGCAUACUCGAAGAAAAAAAGAAGAGCUUUAUAUGAAAACUGAUCAAGCGUUCGAGAGUUGGGGCUAGGAAAUCAAACAUUGGAACGACACUGAUUAAAUUGAAGCAUGGCUUGCGAAUGUCCUGCUACGCUCGAAACUGUUAUCACCAUCCGGGAAGAAACCAGAUGAAAAAAGAAAACUGUAAAUACCCAGUACUGUACGAUAUACGUUCGGUGCGUUGCAGGUAAGAAUGGAUUGUGUGUGGCACUUCUCCGCAUACGGACUUGAGUAUAUAGAUCUAGGAACAUCAGACAAAAAGGCAUGUACGUGCAGCACUGUGCGCACCGAUAUGUAAGUUGUUGCUCAAUUGUUCUGUUGUCACAUUUUCAUAGUUUACCUGUGAAACUUUGUCACUGCAGUCUCGACGUUGCGUGAACCUAUAUAAUUUGAUCUCAUGGCUCUUUGCGAGCUACUUUGUUUGUGCAACCAUGUGUUGUGGUAUUCAUUGAUCGCGUUGCCUGGAUGUAUAUCUUUUGCAACAAUAUUCCGAGCCAAGUCAGUAAAUCAAUCCUUCCUGUCAUCAUGUUUGCUUGGGCGGUUCUAAAGCGUGAAUCACGUCGCAGAAGUUGAACGCACUAAUUUUCACUGGAAGUGCACAGUAUGUGUCUAUACAUACAUGUGCAACGACGAAAUAAUAAUUUUGUCUGUGGCUGUGCCAGGAUCAGGAUUUCUUGCACACAAAUGUGAAAAAGUCCACUAAAUCAUCUGCAUGGUUCACAGAGUUAUUCAUUAUUAUAUUAUUUGUUUGUUUGUUUGUUUCAGUUUGUAGGAGCACUGUAACUAUCCAAGCUUCACUCUCGACGGGGACAGAGAAAUACCGGAUGCUGUGCCAUCCAGAGCCAAGAACAUGGUACGGAUGAAAAAGAGACUCCCAGGCAGUACGCAAAACUAUCAGCACUGUCCUUUAGCUGUAUCGUACUAUUUCAGGCAACAAAGACUACUUGCAAAUUGUUAACACUGCACCACGAAAAAAAUAAUGUAUUUUAUGAUUGCAAAAUAAACCCCUAAAGAAGAAAA